This is a long non-coding RNA of Homo sapiens (human), 756 nucleotides long. RefSeq lists it as uncharacterized. The transcript is spliced from 5 exons. NCBI's taxonomy places the organism in Eukaryota, Metazoa, Chordata, Mammalia, Primates, Hominidae. The record is from RefSeq and is a predicted model, not a curated record.
CGCGGCGGGUCCCGUAGCUUGGUGUCUUUCUCUGCUGUGCUGAGCGUUGGUUCCCCCUUGGUUUCCUGAAACGUUCUUACCCCAAACGUUAGAGGUGACGUUAGGAUUAACUGAAGGCUCGGAUCGUUCCUGCUUCAACUUUCUGGGCCCUCACUCACCUCAUUCGCUCCAGUGCUCAGUUGUGUAGAUUGGUGGGGAUGUCGAGGAUACAAAGAUGAAGGAAGAAGAAUGGCUGUCUUUCUUUCUAUUCAGAAAAGAUCCCAGAUAAUAUACCCUGUGUCAUCAUGGCUUCCAAACAGUAAUCCCUUCUUCAGAAAUUCAUCAGCUUCACAGAAAAUUUUGUUGAACAGCCUAAAAACAGAAGAUCAAGGCAAAACAAUCUGCUGUGUAUUGCAACCUAAGAAGUGAGCUGACCUUCCAUUUAGAGGGGCCUGCAACAGCAAUCUGCCUCCUUCAAAGGGUCUGUGGAUCCUCUUGGCUUUCCCGGUAUGUUCCUGUGGUAGUUCUUGGAGCAAAAGUUCACGAUGUGAGUCUCCACACACUGCUCUGUCCACUGGAGUGGGAGCUGCAAGUUAGUCCUGCCUCCAAUCUGCCAUUUUCCCCCACCUGAUCCAUCAUUCUAUUCUCUUUGUCUGAGGGGAAGGCUUGGAGCAGAUGGCAGAAGAAGCUGUUUAGGUAGCCUAAAAUGCAUUGUCAUUACAUUUGUCUGGAAGGCAAAGCCUGGGCUGGAGAUCUAGGCGGGAUCUGGCACAUCAU